RNAcentral lists this ribosomal RNA (466 nucleotides) under uncultured bacterium. RNAcentral's name for it is "bacterial SSU rRNA". It matches the Rfam family "Bacterial small subunit ribosomal RNA", at positions 25 to 507 of the family's 1533-position model. The record is from RNAcentral.
CAGGACGAACGCUGGCGGCGUGCUUAACACAUGCAAGUCGAACGGUAAGGCCCUUCGGGGUACACGAGUGGCGAACGGGUGAGUAACACGUGGGUGAUCUGCCCUGCACUUGGGAUAAGCCUGGGAAACUGGGUCUAAUACCGAAUAGGACCAUGGACUUCACGGUUUGUGGUGGAAAGCUUUUGCGGUGUGGGAUGGGCCCGCGGCCUAUCAGCUUGUUGGUGGGGUAAUGGGCCUACCAAGGCGACGACGGGUAGCCGGCCUGAGAGGGUGACCGGCCCACACUGGGACUGAGAUACGGCCCAGACUCCUACGGGAGGCAGCAGUGGGGAAUAUUGCACAAUGGGCGCAAGCCUGAUGCAGCGACGCCGCGUGAGGGAUGACGGCCUUCGGGUUGUAAACCUCUUUCAGCACAGACGAAGCGCAAGUGACGGUAUGUGCAGAAGAAGGACCGGCCAACUACGUG